RNAcentral lists this long non-coding RNA (536 nucleotides) under Oryza sativa (Asian cultivated rice). RNAcentral's name for it is "long non-coding RNA (OSAT_LNC001062)". Lineage: Eukaryota; Viridiplantae; Streptophyta; Magnoliopsida; Poales; Poaceae. The record is from RNAcentral.
AAUAAUUAGUUGACGGUGACCUUGCCGACCAUCCCAGCUCCGGCGUGCGGCUCGCAGUAGAAGCCGUAUGUGCCGGGGACGGUGAGCGUGACGGAGAAGGUCUCGCCGGGGGCGUUGAGGUACUCCUCCUGCGAUAUCUUGGACACGUCGACGCCGCUCGGAACCGCGUCCUCGUCGAACACCACGUUGUGAGGGAAGCCGGCGUUGUUCUUGAACGUGAUGGUCUCGCCGGACUUGACGGUGAAGUCGUUCGGCUCGAACACCAGCACGCCGCCAUUGGCGCCGAGAAGCACCUCCUGCGCCAUGGCGCCGCCCGCGAGCAUGGCGCUGGCGGCCACGGCCACUGCGGCCGCGCCGGCUGCCUUGCCGAGCGAGGCGCGCACGACCAGCGAAGAUCUCAUCCUCCUCCGCCCGGGAGCGGAGGGGGCCAUGGAAGGGAUGGUGACGGCGGCAGAGGAAAGAGCGGCCAUGGUAGCUAGUGUAUUGUAUUUCUUCUUGGUCUGCGUCUGCGUCUGCGUCUGCGUAGUACUCCUAUG